RNAcentral lists this ribosomal RNA (444 nucleotides) under Salmonella enterica. RNAcentral's name for it is "bacterial SSU rRNA". It matches the Rfam family "Bacterial small subunit ribosomal RNA", at positions 659 to 1102 of the family's 1533-position model. The record is from RNAcentral. Lineage: Bacteria; Pseudomonadati; Pseudomonadota; Gammaproteobacteria; Enterobacterales; Enterobacteriaceae.
GGGUAGAAUUCCAGGUGUAGCGGUGAAAUGCGUAGAGAUCUGGAGGAAUACCGGUGGCGAAGGCGGCCCCCUGGACAAAGACUGACGCUCAGGUGCGAAAGCGUGGGGAGCAAACAGGAUUAGAUACCCUGGUAGUCCACGCCGUAAACGAUGUCUACUUGGAGGUUGUGCCCUUGAGGCGUGGCUUCCGGAGCUAACGCGUUAAGUAGACCGCCUGGGGAGUACGGCCGCAAGGUUAAAACUCAAAUGAAUUGACGGGGGCCCGCACAAGCGGUGGAGCAUGUGGUUUAAUUCGAUGCAACGCGAAGAACCUUACCUGGUCUUGACAUCCACAGAACUUUCCAGAGAUGGAUUGGUGCCUUCGGGAACUGUGAGACAGGUGCUGCAUGGCUGUCGUCAGCUCGUGUUGUGAAAUGUUGGGUUAAGUCCCGCAACGAGCGCAAC